GAACAGGCUGCCCAGGGUCAUGGCACCAAGCCUACUGAAGUGUCUAUGUAUGUGAUAAAAUAAUUUCCACUCCAUCUUUCCUUUACCUCAUCAUUGCUGUGGAAGCAAGAGAUAAGAGCAGCAACCCGAGGUGGAACACAAGCUACCACUGUAAAUAUUGUGAAAUUGUUACACAAGACUCCCUCCAGAAUUUGGAAAUGCAUUAAAGAAUUCCAGGUUUGUACAUGGAUGUUUAAUCCUUGGAAAAAAAAAACAGUUAGGAAGAAAGUCAGUGACCUGGAGUCUAUUGCUGAUUUGGGCACCGGCCUGAGAACUGAUUUGAGCAUUGCAUACAAUUGUCAUCACUAUCCAAUACCACCAGUUUGAUUUAGUGACUGAUGUGCUACAGGAGAUAACAUGGCUAUCACUGGCAAGUAACAACAAGAGUCACUGCCAGGCUGAUGUUCUCCUGUGCCAAAGUACAUUCUCAUUUCUCUAACCUGAGUGAGUCAAAAUGGUGCCAUUUUUGUGCAUUGUUAUAAGUAGGUAAGACUUAUAGUAUGUUGCUGGUAUGUUGUCUUUGUAGAAAUUAAGUUAUUGUUGAGAUGAUCUCCUGACUGCACCAUUUUCUAUUCAGGAGACCAUUCCUUGCUUUGAUUUAAGAAGGAAAAAAAAAAUCAACCUUCUUUGAUUUUAUUUUCAUGCAUUUACCGCAUACUGUCUUUUGGUACAUUUCUAGUUGCUAUGUGAUGUGAGGUCCAUGUAAAUCAUUCUACUUCCCUUAUAAGAAGUACUUAUAAGUGAUCACAGAUGUGUUCGUAUGCCAUCUUUUACAUGGACUGAAGCAAUCAAGUCUCGAAGAUGCUUAGCCUGAAACCAACACUGGGUGAAAUGACACAUUAUGGCAGAGCCAAUCUUAGUAAUUCACUGGUUAUUAAAGGAAAAAAGUCAUACUACCUUCCCUCUCUACACCAAGCUUUGCAUUUCUGAUGCUAGCCAUGCACAGAUCUGGUGCUCACUGAACCCCUCUGUGAGCUGAUUCAACUCAUUGAUCUAACAAUGCCAAAUAUUAUAUUGCUGUGAGUGGAUUUUGAUGAGCAAAUGUGGUUGGCUCAGCAAAGCACCUGUUGGCCUCAGAUCUAUAACCAGGGAGGAGUUAUGAUCAAGCACUGAGGACUGGUGCAGUGAGUGGAGGGUGGGAAGGAAGGAACAGGAAUCCUGCCUUUGGCAUACAGGAGCUAGUUUGUGUUAGUUUGAUCACCUUAUGUAACUGUUCACUUGACCUUUUGGGAACAGGCCAGGCCCUGCUCAAAUAUAUCUAUCAGACGGUGACAGUUAUAGAGAAAGACUGGUAUAUCAACAUGAAGAAACUUGUCUAAAUGUUAGAAAUGUGCUUGUUACUUGUGACCUUUCACACAGGAAAAAAAAAAAAAAGAGUAUGUAUGUCUAAAUAACCUCCUGUUUUCAUCAACAGGACUAGAGAUUGAAAGUUUCCAUUUGUACAAAGGAAAUGAUGCUUUAUGUCCAUCUUGCAAAUCAGCAAACUGAGCCAAGGUGCCACAGUGGUGCUUUGACUAUUGUUGUGUGAAUAUAGUCAGCAUUAAUGCUAGAAAAAACAGCAUGGGUGGAUCAUGUCAGUACCUACUCUUACUGCACUGGUGUUUCUGAGCAUAAAGUGUUUCCAGAAUGUGCUUCACAGAAUACCUGAAGAUGGCCUCCCAUGGAAAGGCUUCAUGGCUUCCUGGAGACCCUUAAGAUCUUCUUUUUGGUUACUAAACCAAACAACAGUCAAAAGUUGUUUGUAAUUGGGUACAGUGCUUGGUGCAUUAGGGAGGUGGGUUUUUUUCUGUUAUUGUAAAAAUAGGAGAAGAUUCAUCUAUGAGCUAAGCUUGUAGCUGAAAUAUGGUCACACCCAGGCAUAGUUUGAGAACUUUUGUGUUCUAGGAAAGCUAUUCACUCAAAGGCUGUGAUAAAUCAAAAAAAAAAAAAAAAAAAAAAAAAAAAAGAGCAGUCUGUGUUUAUUUUUGGUUAAUGAACAAGGAGAAGUAUGCGAAGACAUCAGGCACAUUGAGACGUAUUUUUCCUACUAACAAUGUGGUUGAUUAAGGUGGACAGAUGAGGGCCACAGAGAUUAUGCAAAUGUCACUUAGGUAAAUGUUUGUGUUAGGGUGGGGAUGAACACUGUCCUGUUUCAGAAGUGAACUAAAGACCUUUAAACUUUACCUGCUGGGAUAAUGUGGAUACAUUUGUUCUUUGAUUAAAGGAUGCGCUCACUCCUCGCAUGCUAGUGCAUUGCAACUGCACACUUACUGUCCUUCUCUAAAGGACUAAAGCUGAACCUCUUAGAUCUCAAAUUCUGUUGCUAUGAAGUCUUCUUACAGUUUAUCAUGCUGCUUUCCCAAAGAACAGGGAAUGUGUGCCAUCCCUCAAACACCCCUUCCUAGAUGCUUAACCGAGUCCCUCGGUAACCUUGAGAUCAGUCCUCCCAGACUGCAGAAAUUCUGGCUGAAAAAUACGUGUUCUAAAGCAGAUCUUUACAGCACUUUUCCAGUCCCAGAUUUUGGACCAAUUUUUUUAGCAACGGCCACCAUAAACCUUUGAAAUAGUCUAUGAUGUGUAUCUCUAGGUAAAACAUCUCUGACCACUGAGUGUGUUAAAAUGAUCAGUUUUCAGUCAAUAUGCCAAGUACGGGCCAGAAAGUUCUGGUCCAAAGUCUACUCUGCAGCAGGUCCCUCACAUUGAUUACACAGUCAUCUAGCACUACUCUAGAUAUGAAAUCGCUAUCACCCUACCUUCUUUUACACAUCACCAGUCCUGUAUGACCAGUCAGCAGCUGGACACGUGUUGACUUCAGUGGGAGCAGAAAUGGAAAACUGCAGAACACCACUGUUCUGAUGAGCUGAAGCGGUACAGUAGUAGCAUUAGCCUCCAGAAGGAGUCAGCUUGCAUACAACACCCUCAUACAGUCCUGGUGAAUGCCUGAGAAGCCAUUAGUUUUCUGAGGGCCAAUACCCAGCUGUGAACUGUCAAGAUGCUCAUCUCAGUAACAUUAUCCUUUUUUUUUUUCCAUUUGCUUUGUCAGGAAUAAAUGUAACACACUGCAGGAACAUUUUGCAGUGGAUAAUAAUGCUGCCACCAUGUAUUUGGUUGAUACACUGACAGAGAUCUCCAGCUGGGAGAGUUCAAAUAUGAAAGCUGUACUAAUGUUUCUGUUCUUGUUAGUAUUCUUGCUAGGACUGGGAGAAGAGUCUGGAUUAUGAAGAGGAGUGGGGAGUAUUAAUUUUCAUUUACUGAACUGCCUAGAAAUAAUUUGAACCACCCACACAGCAGAACAAGCUGAUGUCAGAGCCAGUGAGGUUAUCAACACCAAUAAAAAAGCAGUUGUCACACAGAUUAGACAUUACAUGUUAGCAAAAAACUGCUGGUAUAUUAUUUUUAUGCAAAUUGAAAGUAUUUCUAUAACCUCUGACCCUGCCUGUAAACAUCAGAUUCCAGGAAUUCUGCUGGAAACCAUACAUUACUAAGGUAAAAUAAUACUUAGUAGUGAACAUGGUUUCCUCAGUAGAAGAAUCUGGAAGUGGAAGAAUGUAAGACCUUGAAAUGCACUGCUGAGUGCAAGGAAACUGCUGAGGCCACCUCCUGCCAAACAUCUGGGAAAACACACACCCCUUCAGAGCUGCCAGUGGAAAUAUGUAAACCACACACGGCUGUGAUGCAUGAGCACCUCGUUAACAUGCUAUCAGGCGUUCCCAGAUAGCAGCUGCGCAGGGCCAGGAGUAAGUGGACACGCAAUUUCAGCUUGCUCUGACAUGAAACGGGAAGUCAUCGGAGGUAUUCAAAGAACUAAGUGGAAGGACAGGGAGGUUAUUUUAAGGACAGCAGAAGAAAUGAGGAAAAAGUUGGUGAGAAUGGGAAAGAUAGAAAAUGCAGCAGCAGUCCAAAAGGAAAAAUCUCCUUGGAACUGGAGAGGAUUUCACUGAGUGGUGAGGAAAGAGCUGGAAGGUGGUCAGAGGAGGAAAUAUGGAUCUUGGAUAGAAGCUAUACAUAGAAGUGAACAAGAGGAAUGCAAAGUGGAUGUCUGUGCCUUGAAGGUUUGCUCGAAGGAGGCUGAAUUAGUUCCUCAAGGGGUUGUCUGCAUGCAGGACUACUAAAAGCAAGUGGCGAGGUUGUGGAUUGGCAGGUAGAAAGUGGAAAGUCUGGAGCAUUGGGAGGUAACCUUACCCCUUCUUAUCUAAAUAGACUGAGGGGACACCAUUGCAAAGAUGAGAAAUGAAUAAAGGGCAAUCCUGUGCUGCAGGAAACUAAGCUGGUCUAUCAGUGGGGUGUUGCACUGCAUUGGAACCCUUGCUGGUCUGGUGCUGGUGUCCUGAUUUCAAGGAUGCAGUUACUGAAAUGGUAAUAGUUCAAGUGUACUGAUUCAAAUGCAGAGAUUCAAAUGAGACAUAAAAUUAAGUAAUUGAAAGGUGGAUUUUAUAAAAGAAUCCUCAACAAGAAAGGCCAUAGUUUUCAGGGGACAUAUUUGAUAGAGAAUUAAGAUAAAAUACAAAUGUUAAUGAGGCUCACUGAGCAGAGGUGAGGGAAGAAUUGCCAGUGAUCCCAGUCAAGAAUAUCUUGUCCUCAGACAAGAAGUUUAUAUCACCUCCAGGGUUGAACAGCAGCCACUCUUCCCACUCAGACAUCAGAAAGAUCACCCAACUGGGUAUGAUGUACUGCCGUUCUCCACGUAGCUUUCACGCUUCACUCAGAAUACAGAGCUAUGGCAGCUACUGUGUGAACACAGGCACACAUUCUUUCCAUGCUUACCACUAUAUGGAAAGUAGUAAAUAAUAGGGCUGACAAGAUUGUGCCAUUUUAGGGGAAGUUUAUGUUGGUUUUGUUUUUGUUUGGUUUUGGUUUUUACAAACAGGCAUUCUUUGGUGACCUGAGAGCCUCUAGGCAGACUGAGUAGGUUACCACUCAGUACAUACAAUUUUCAAAGAACUCAGCAUGCCUAGUAUUUUACCAAAUACCUGUUGGACUACCAGCUGCUUUGCUGAAACUUGACUUUGUUUCUAUGCUUUCAAUGCAGUGGGAUGGGGUUUUUCCAGGCCUUUUCAAGUCACCAGCUCACAGCUCAGCUAUAGCCUUGGCUAGCAAGAUGAUGGAAGUUUGGAGCCAUUCUUUUAAGGCAAGAGAAUUAAGAGCCUGGCCCGUGAGGUGCAUGGCAGCUUCAGGUCUUGAGAGGAAAGAGAACUCUUAAAUUCACUGGAGUGGAGUGUAUAUUCAGCAUGAAGUUCAGUACCUCAAAUAUUCCUGCAAAACUAUUAAGCUAUUUGCAUUCUCCUCAACAUGGAAAUUCAACAGUCACUAUUAGAAGCAUUCCCUCGGACUGUCCAGUGCGC
RNAcentral lists this long non-coding RNA (5360 nucleotides) under Gallus gallus (chicken). RNAcentral's name for it is "lncRNA (ENSGALG00010021508.1)". Lineage: Eukaryota; Metazoa; Chordata; Aves; Galliformes; Phasianidae. The record is from RNAcentral.